UGGGGAAUAUUGCACAAUGGGCGCAAGCCUGAUGCAGCCAUGCCGCGUGUAUGAAGAAGGCCUUCGGGUUGUAAAGUACUUUCAGUCGGGAGGAAGGUGUCAAGGUUAAUAACCUUGGCAAUUGACGUUACCCGCAGAAGAAGCACCGGCUAACUCCGUGCCAGCAGCCGCGGUAAUACGGAGGGUGCAAGCGUUAAUCGGAAUUACUGGGCGUAAAGCGCACGCAGGCGGUCUGUCAAGUCGGAUGUGAAAUCCCCGGGCUCAACCUGGGAACUGCAUUCGAAACUGGCAGGCUAGAGUCUUGUAGAGGGGGGUAGAAUUCCAGGUGUAGCGGUGAAAUGCGUAGAGAUCUGGAGGAAUACCGGUGGCGAAGGCGGCCCCCUGGACAAAGACUGACGCUCAGGUGCGAAAGCGUGGGGAGCAAACAGG
Molecule: ribosomal RNA, 429 nt
Filed under: Chloroflexota bacterium
Lineage: Bacteria; Bacillati; Chloroflexota
Description: Chloroflexi bacterium partial 16S ribosomal RNA
Rfam family: Bacterial small subunit ribosomal RNA
Source: RNAcentral